GCUCCAAUAGCGUAUAUUAAAGUUGUUGCAGUUAAAAAGCUCGUAGUUGGAUUUCUGGUGGGAGGGAACCGUCCGAUCUCAGAUUGGUGCGUGUUCCUCUCCGGCCAUCCUUGAGUCUAACCUCCUUGGCAUUAAGUUGUCGAGGUGGGGAUACUCAUCGUUUACUGUGAAAAAAUUAGAGUGUUCAAAGCAGGCUUAUG
Molecule: ribosomal RNA, 200 nt
Filed under: uncultured eukaryote
Lineage: Eukaryota
Description: partial 18S ribosomal RNA
Rfam family: Eukaryotic small subunit ribosomal RNA
Source: RNAcentral